RNAcentral lists this ribosomal RNA (497 nucleotides) under uncultured bacterium. Its description in RNAcentral is "partial 16S ribosomal RNA". It matches the Rfam family "Bacterial small subunit ribosomal RNA", at positions 28 to 507 of the family's 1533-position model. The record is from RNAcentral.
GAUGAACGCUGGCGGCGUGCCUAAUACAUGCAAGUCGAGCGAACGGAUAAGGAGCUUGCUCCUUUGACGUUAGCGGCGGACGGGUGAGUAACACGUGGGUAACCUACCUAUAAGACUGGGAUAACUUCGGGAAACCGGAGCUAAUACCGGAUAACAUUUGGAACCGCAUGGUUCUAAAGUGAAAGAUGGUUUUGCUAUCACUUAUAGAUGGACCCGCGCCGUAUUAGCUAGUUGGUAAGGUAACGGCUUACCAAGGCGACGAUACGUAGCCGACCUGAGAGGGUGAUCGGCCACACUGGAACUGAGACACGGUCCAGACUCCUACGGGAGGCAGCAGUAGGGAAUCUUCCGCAAUGGGCGAAAGCCUGACGGAGCAACGCCGCGUGAGUGGUGAAGGGUUUCGGCUCGUAAAACUCUGUUAUUAGGGAAGAACAAACGUGUAAGUAACUGUGCACGUCUUGACGGUACCUAAUCAGAAAGCCACGGCUAACUACGUG